GCACUUCCGGAGUGAGGCAAUGCCUCGCCCUGCUUCGGCUCGCGCACGGUGCGCGCACCCACUGGCCUGCGCCCACUGUCUGGCACUCCCUAGUGAGAUGAACCCGGUACCUCAGAUGGAAAUGCAGAAAUCACCCGUCUUCUGCGUCGCUCACGCUGGGAGCUGUAGAGCGGAGCUGUUCCUAUUCGGCCAUCUUGGCUCCUCCGGCUUACAUUCUUGAAGUCAUUAAAGAAGCAACCCAUGGCAAAACUAGUUAUUUUCUUAAAACAGUAGGAAGAAGAAAAGCUUUUUGAAUGAAUCACUUCUCAUCUUCUCCGAAGUUGGAAGCAUCAAGAAUCUAAAUAAGCAUUUAUGAUGGCUGGCAUGAAUAUACAGGUGAAGACAGAACAAGAAAACAAACCAAGAAUUUCCCCUCACCAGCCACCAGCUCUGCCAGCAACUUGAUCUUAGACUUCCCAGCCUCCGUAACGCCUCUGCUUAUAAUCUGUCAUGGAUUGGAAAACUAGAAAAAACAGUUUACAGAGUAUAACAAACUUUGGAGGAGUUAAUCGACUCUAAGUAAAAGAGUAUCUAGCACGGCUGUGGAACAAAGGAGAGACUCACAAACUGUUGAAAGAAUAAAUGAAUGAAUGAAUUCUGUUCAUGAGCUUUAAUAAAACAGCUCUGAGUAGUAACAGUGGAUCAAAUUUAGGCUUCUUGAUGCAGGCAUGGUGUAGAUUACUACUUCUGUAUUGUCCCAGGAGCUCAGCACAUUCCUGCAGAGAUGAUAGGAGCUCAUCUGAUACUUGUCAGCUUUGAAUAAACUCCAGUCCCCAAGAGAGAGAAUGAGAAUCACCGGAAUACGAAACUUCCCUGUUGGACUUCCCAACAUUCUUGAAUGCACCAAGAUAGCCUCUUGCUGUGAGAUUAAUAAAUGAAUAAAUGCCUCCAUAUUUUUCAAAUCUGUGAAGUUAACAACAUGUAGAUUUUUUUGCAUAUUUAAAAACUGCAACUAAAUCUUAAUGCCUCUGAAGCAGAUGGAAGAAAAUAAUAGGCUUCCAUUAACUGUGUCAAAUUGUAUAGGUCUUGGCCAUCACUGGUCCUGUUGUGAUGAAGGUUUUUUGCCCUUGGAUAUAAUUUAAUUUUCAAUUCUUCUAAUUAUGGUACUUCAGAACAUCAAUAUUUGAGAUGAACUUCUCUAGUGUCAAGGACUGAUUUGAGUUGUGUAAACCCUGAAUAUCUGAGACAGGUCUCGAUUAUUUUAGAAAGUUUAUUUUGCCAAGGUUGAGGAUGUGUGCCUGUGACACGGCCUCGGGAGGUCCUGAGGACAUGUGCUCAAGGUGGUCAGAGCACAGCUUUGCUUUAUACAUUUUAGAGAGACAUGAGACAUCAACCGACAUAUGUAAGAUGAACAUUGGUUCCAUCUGGAAAGGCGAGACAACUUCAAACGAGGAGGGGGCUUCCAGGUCAUAGGUAGAUAAGAGACAAAUGGCUGCAUUCUUUUGAGUUUCUGAUUAGCCUUUCCAAAGGAGGCAAUUAGAGUGAGCAAAAUGAACAAAAUCAAUUAUUUUGAUUCUGAACAAAAUGGGAGGCUGGUUUUCCCUAAGCAGUUCCCAGCUUGACUUUUCCCUUUAGCUGAGGGAUUUGGGGGGCCCAAGAUUUAUUUUUCUUUCACCGUUGUAUCAAACUACACAGGCGGCCUUGGAAACCAUCACAGUUGAGAGUAGGUAACGCCCAUUUGUUGCAUAGUUUUGUGCUCCACACUCUUAUCUACAAAAUUAUGAAUUUUUUUACAUAUAUUAAUUUCAGAAAAACUAAAAAUAAAACAAAGUAGUUUCAAACUAGUAUUGUUUUUAUAUCUUAAAAAUAAAGCUUUAUAUACUCUCCUUAC
RNAcentral lists this long non-coding RNA (1870 nucleotides) under Homo sapiens (human). RNAcentral describes it as "uncharacterized LOC105376944, transcript variant 9 (LOC105376944)". The record is from RNAcentral. Lineage: Eukaryota; Metazoa; Chordata; Mammalia; Primates; Hominidae.